Myotis brandtii (Brandt's bat) is the source of this 75-nucleotide non-coding RNA. Lineage: Eukaryota; Metazoa; Chordata; Mammalia; Chiroptera; Vespertilionidae. The record is from Rfam.
GGAGCUUCUUAGGUGAUGCACCCUGGAAUCAGGCUCCCUCCUCUCUGGUUCCAGGUGCAUCACCCAAGAAUCGCA